AGGACGAACGCUGGCGGCGUGCUUCAUACAUGCAAGUCGAACGAGAAUCUGGCUUCGGUCAGAGGAAAGUGGCGGACGGGUGAGUAAUGUGUAGAGAAUCUGCCCUUUAGUGGGGGACAACAGUUGGAAACGACUGCUAAUACCCCAUAUGCGCGUAGCUGAGAUGCUAUUCGUGAAAACUCCGGUGCUAAAGGAUGAGUCUGCAUCUGAUUAGCUAGUUGGCGGUGUAAUGGACCACCAAGGCGACGAUCAGUAGCUGGUUUGAGAGGAUGAUCAGCCACAAUGGGACUGAGACACGGCCCAUACUCCUACGGGAGGCAGCAGUAGGGAAUUUUGCGCAAUGGGGGAAACCCUGACGCAAGCAACGCCGCGUGAUUGAAUAAGCCCUUCGGGGUGUAAAGAUCUGUCAGUAGGGACGAAACUUGACGGUACCUACAGAGGAAGCAUCGGCUAACUCCGUGCCAGCCGCAGC
RNAcentral lists this ribosomal RNA (472 nucleotides) under uncultured bacterium. RNAcentral's name for it is "bacterial SSU rRNA". It matches the Rfam family "Bacterial small subunit ribosomal RNA", at positions 26 to 518 of the family's 1533-position model. The record is from RNAcentral.